Molecule: non-coding RNA, 54 nt
Organism: Salmo salar (Atlantic salmon)
Lineage: Eukaryota; Metazoa; Chordata; Actinopteri; Salmoniformes; Salmonidae
Source: Rfam
UGGAUAUCAUAAGGUGAGUCGCUCUGGAUAAGAGCGUCUGCUUAAUGACGUAAA